Molecule: unclassified non-coding RNA, 1087 nt
Filed under: Hevea brasiliensis (rubber tree)
Lineage: Eukaryota; Viridiplantae; Streptophyta; Magnoliopsida; Malpighiales; Euphorbiaceae
Source: RNAcentral
GUUAGAUCCAGAUUUGCUGUAAUAAAAUCACCGACAACCGCGUACCAGAACUGUAUAAAAAUGGAGGCAACUUGAUUCUAGGAUUGUUAUGUUCGAGGUUGAUAGCUAGAUAUAUCAUUCCGUUGAUUGCUUUGUAAGAAAAAUUCCAAAUGGGGCCUAUUUGUUGGUAUUCUUUGCUCAUUUUAGUUUUGUUUUUGGAGGGGAUUAACGGUCAACUUAACGGUUGGCUUCAAGCUCAUGCCACCUUCUAUGGUGCCAAUCAAAAUCCUAGCACUCUCGGAGGAGCAUGUGGAUAUGAUAAUACAUUUCAUGCUGGGUUUGGAGUGCACACAACAGCAGUGAGUGGUGCACUUUUUAGAAACGGAGAGGCCUGUGGAGCUUGCUAUCAAGUCAUGUGCGACUUUAAGGCUGACCCCAAGUGGUGUCUCCGACGUGGAGUUGUGACGGUAACCACCACCAAUUUCUGCCCAGCUAACAAUAAUGGAGGAUGGUGUGAUCCUCCUCGCCACCACUUCGACAUGUCCAUGCCUGCUUUUCUUCGCAUCGCCAAACAAGGCAAUGAAGGCAUUGUUCCUGUACUCUACAGAAGGGUGGCAUGCAAGAGAAGAGGAGGAGUUCAUUUCACGUUGAGAGGACAAUCGAAUUUCAAUUUGAUAAUGAUAUCCAAUGUUGGAGGCAGUGGUGAUAUUGAAGCUGCAUGGGUUAGAGGAUCUAGGUCAAGAUCAUGGGUGCCAAUGCGCAGGAACUGGGGUGCAAAUUGGCAAAGCAAUGUUGACCUUCGAAGCCAAACGUUGUCGUUUAAGCUCACUUUGGUUGAUGGAAAAACACUUGAAUUCUUCAAUGUUGUUCCUUCAACAUGGAGGUUUGGACAGACAUUUUCUUCACAAAAUCAAUUCUCUUAGAAGAAUAAACUUGCAUGUCCUAGAACAGCCAUUUUUUGCACUGUUACAGGACAUGUAUAGUUAAUAUUAAUUAAAUAUUUGUAUUCAGUUAAUAUUUUUUUAAAAAAAGAUUACACAUAUGCAUACAACUCCAAAAAAAUAGGAGUUUAAUUAUGCCGUCUUUGUAUUUUGAUUGAAUGUUAUCA